GCAGCUGGGGAGUCUGGGAGGCACCGGGAAGGGCUGGCUGAUGGAGCUGUGGCCUGUGGGCGAGGGGUGAAGCAGGAGGCAGCACUGGGGUGCGAGGGAAGGGGGACAGCGCCGGCGGGGUCUGAGGGCCAGGGCGAGGUGGAGCAGGAGUGGGGCACAGUGCGUCUUGUGUCCCCACGGCCUGGAGAAGUGUGUGGAGCGAUGUCCUCCGGGCAGCGGCCGAUUGCAGAAGCCUCGAGUGCCCCUGCACUUGGGGAUGGGGGAGUGGAGCCAAGGGGGAGGGUGUCUGCAGGGGGUGAGGGGCUGUGGCCGGGCACCCAGCUGCAGCGGGCAGCCCGGGGCACAGGGGCAGUGGGGGGCAAGGAUGGGCCACCGGAGGGGGCAGAGCAGGCAGGAGUGAAAGCCGAGGAGGAACAGCCAGGCCUCUGUGAAAACACCGAGGGAGAGGUAGCGAGUGCCUGGGCGAGUGCAGGGAGCGCUGCUGGGGUCAGGGAGCCGAGGAAGGACAGUCCCGUCGGAGGGAGCGCCGGCACCCUGGCAGCUGAUGUGGGCGAGAGGAGCCGCGGUCCCUGAGAGGAUGCUUUAAACCCAGCUGCAGUUGUGGUGCCCUCAGUACAGCCAAAGGAUGGGGAAGAAACUCUCCUCUGAGCUUUUUCUGCAGCUCCUUCAGUGCCGUGUCCUGCAACAUCUACACAAAUCGCUGUGGAUUUGUGCCAGUUGGGAUGUUCACUUCUUUAUUUCACUCUGCAAGUACUGCAACCAUCUGUCUCGUUUUACUAGAGCAGCUUCUCAGUGUGUGGCAGACAACUGAAAUAAGCCUGUAUAUGCCAGCCCAGGAAAAAGCACUCCAUAAUUAUGAAGAUAAUAAUCGCAAGGCUUGUGCCACAGCUGUCAUGCUUGUUUUUCCCAAAACAGCAAAAUAUUGGACUGGCUGAACCUCCCCUCCUCCCCUAGACAGCGCUUGCUUCUGCUGGCUGGUGGGAGGGAGGGCUGAGGGCAGAUGUGCCGUACGUGUUUCCAUAGGGCAAGGAGCGUGUCUGUGAAGAGUGCCUGUGUUUGUGUGUCUCUGUGUGCUGGCUGCAUUUUUCUGCGUGUCAUUUACCUUCCUGAACCACAGGCUCUUCGCCCCAAGUUGGGGCCGUGUCUUCACUGCUGUGCGUAGGGACAUGCUUUGGUUCUGGUAAGAGCAUCCGGGGGUGCUCGGCAGAGGUGUGGAACAGCAGCGUUGCUGGGGGAAGGGUGGCCUCGUGCAGGGGUGUUUAGCUUGGGGGCUGCGGCCACCCACCUGCCAGGCCAGGGAGCCCUUCCCCGGUGCCGGGCGGGUGGUGCAGGGGGCUUCGUGGGAAUCCGGGCUUGCUGCUGGCCAUGCUUCAAGGCAUUCUUGGGACCUUGAAAUGUUGUUGAAAAUUGCUAAAUCGAAACCGUUCUAAUGUUUGUCACUGAAUAAAGCCUGGCCUUUUGCUUUUGC
Long non-coding RNA from Falco peregrinus (peregrine falcon), 1468 nucleotides. RefSeq lists it as uncharacterized. Lineage: Eukaryota; Metazoa; Chordata; Aves; Falconiformes; Falconidae. The record is from RefSeq and is a predicted model, not a curated record. The transcript has 2 exons.